CAGCAGUCGCCGCGGGAAUACGUAGGGUGCGAGCGUUAAUCGGAAUUACUGGGCGUAAAGCGUGCGCAGGCGGUUCGUUAAGACAGAUGUGAAAUCCCCGGGCUUAACCUGGGAACUGCAUUUGUGACUGACGGGCUAGAGUAUGGCAGAGGGGGGUAGAAUUCCACGUGUAGCAGAGAAAUGCGUAGAGAUGUGGAGGAAUACCGAUGGCGAAGGCAGCCCCCUGGGCCAAUACUGACGCUCAUGCACGAAAGCGUGGGGAGCAAACAGGAUUAGAUACCCGAGUAGUCCCUGUCUCUUAUAC
RNAcentral lists this ribosomal RNA (304 nucleotides) under uncultured bacterium. RNAcentral describes it as "partial 16S ribosomal RNA". It matches the Rfam family "Bacterial small subunit ribosomal RNA", at positions 509 to 807 of the family's 1533-position model. The record is from RNAcentral.